CUUCAGUGUCCCCUCACCUGGACCUUUAAACACACCUGUGAACCCCAGCUCUGUCAUGAGCCCAGCUGGCUCCAGCCAGGCUGAGGAACAGCAGUACCUGGACAAGCUGAAGCAACUGUCCAAGUACAUCGAGCCCCUACGCCGCAUGAUCAACAAGAUCGACAAGAACGAAGGUAGGCUGCAGCCAGGGCACGAGCCUGCACCCUGGGGACACCGCCGGGCUUGUGUCUUAGUGUACCCUCUUCUGUCCCAGACAGAAAAAAGGACCUGAGUAAGAUGAAGAGCCUUCUGGACAUUCUGACAGACCCCUCGAAGCGGUGAGCUUUGCCCACAGCCCACGGAGGGUCCACAAGGGCACGGAUAGCCCAGCCAUGGAUAGGCACUUGGUGAUGAUGUGGGUUUAACAAAGGCACCAGGCAGCUCUUUGGGCCCUGGCCAGAGGCCUCCAAGGCUCCACUCUGGUGUGUGCUGGGGCUUCAAGCCCAGGCUUCAUCUUGGCCCGUGCCCAGCCUUUGCCCUACUCCUGGCUGCUGCUGUGGCCCUCAUGCUGGGCCAUCACAGCCAGACCUCAUCCAGCCAGCAGCCAGGGUCCCAGCUUGCAGUGGCCUGAUCAUCAGCUGGCCCUGAUGGGCCUGAGCCUGACCUGGAGUUCUGCCCCUGACUUGCCGGUGAC
RNAcentral lists this small RNA (673 nucleotides) under Pongo abelii (Sumatran orangutan). Its description in RNAcentral is "retained intron". Lineage: Eukaryota; Metazoa; Chordata; Mammalia; Primates; Hominidae. The record is from RNAcentral.